GUGCCCGCGCCCCCACGAGGCCGGCCCCGUCUGCGGCACCGACGGCCGCACCUACCCCACCGAGUGCGACCUGCGCGCCGCCGCCUGCAGCCUGCGCGACGGCACCCGCCUCAGCCACCACGGGCCGUGCGAUGAGACAGAAGCAUUUGCAGACGAAGCAGCAGAUUCUACUGUUGGCUAAGCAGCUGGUUUAGUUUAUGAGAGUAGCAGGAAAGUAGCAUUACAUCUAGAUGCGUGCCGCGGCGAUGGUUCGGAAAGAGAACGACUUCGCAGCUGGCAGCCGGUUGACAGCCUGUUCUCUGGCGAUAGCUUUCACUCUCUUCACAGAGUCUGUUAUCUGUAGCUUAACAUGUACAAGUAGUAAACAAUAUAAUACAAGCAACAAUGGCCUUGA
Molecule: long non-coding RNA, 394 nt
Organism: Schistocerca piceifrons (Central American locust)
Lineage: Eukaryota; Metazoa; Arthropoda; Insecta; Orthoptera; Acrididae
Exons: 2
Source: RefSeq, a predicted model, not a curated record